Molecule: ribosomal RNA, 724 nt
Filed under: uncultured bacterium
Lineage: Bacteria
Description: bacterial SSU rRNA
Rfam family: Bacterial small subunit ribosomal RNA
Source: RNAcentral
GGCAAACGGGUGAGGAACACGUGAGUAACUUGCCCUUAAGACAGGGAUAGCUUCGUGAAAACGGAGGUAAUAUCUGAUGUGCCCCUGACAUCACAUGAUGACUUGGAUAAAGGUGGGGACCGCAAGGCCUACCGCUUAGGGAUGGACUCGCGUCCUAUCAGCUUGUUGGUGGGGUAAUGGCCUACCAAGGCGUUUGACGGGUAGCUGGUCUGAGAGGAUGGUCAGCCACACUGGGACUGAGACACUGCCCAGACUCCUACGGGAGGCUGCAGUCGAGAAUAUUUAGCAAUGGGCGAAAGCCUGACUAUGCGACGCCGCGUGAGGGAUGAAGGGUUUCGGCUCGUAAACCUCUUUUGUCAGGAAAGAACAUUCUAUGGUUAAUAGCCAUAGAACUGACGGUACCUGACGAAUAAGCCACGGCCAACUCCGUGCCAGCAGCCGCGGUAAUACGGAGGUGGCAAGCGUUACUCGGAAUCAUUGGGUGUAAAGGGCAAGUAGGCGGUUUAUUAUGUGAGGGGUGAAAUCUUCCGACUUAAUCGGAAAAUUGCCUUUCAAACUGAUAAACUUGAGGCAGGUAGAGGGAAAUGGAAUUCCCGGUGUAAGGGUGAAAUCUGUAGAUAUCGGGAAGAACACCAGCUGCGAAGGCGAUUUCCUGGGCCUGUCCUGACGCUGAAUUGCGAAAGCUAGGGGAGCAAACAGAAUUAGAUACUCUGGUAGUCCUAGC